This 285-nucleotide long non-coding RNA is filed under the name Gossypium barbadense (sea-island cotton). RNAcentral describes it as "long non-coding RNA (GBAR_LNC004165)". The record is from RNAcentral. Lineage: Eukaryota; Viridiplantae; Streptophyta; Magnoliopsida; Malvales; Malvaceae.
UUGUGUAUGUGUAUGUGUAAAUGAGGGUGGCAAAUGGCUUGGUAAAUAGCCUUUAUUUUGUCCACACGGGCAAACACGCGGACGUGUGUCUAGACCAUGUGUGACACACGGCCCGCCCUAUGGGAAUGUGUUCUGGUCGUGUGUCCCCUGUACCUAAAUUUUGAGAAACAGAAUGCUCAAAAUUGAGCACUCGGGUAGAAACACAGGCGUGUGUCUCAACUGUGUGAGGGACACGGACUCUGGCACGGGCGUGUGUCCCGAGCGUGUGAAGUCUGCACCUUUUUU